This 484-nucleotide ribosomal RNA is filed under the name uncultured bacterium. RNAcentral's name for it is "partial 16S ribosomal RNA". It matches the Rfam family "Bacterial small subunit ribosomal RNA", at positions 30 to 507 of the family's 1533-position model. The record is from RNAcentral.
AUUGAACGCUGGCGGCAGGCCUAACACAUGCAAGUCGAGCGGAUGAAGGGAGCUUGCUCCUGGAUUCAGCGGCGGACGGGUGAGUAAUGCCUAGGAAUCUGCCUGUUAGUGGGGGAUAACGUCCGGAAACGGGCGCUAAUACCGCAUCCGUCCUGAGGGAGAAAGUGGGGGAUCUUCGGACCUCACGCUAUCAGAUGAGCCUAGGUCGGAUUAGCUAGUUGGUGGGGUAAAGGCCUACCAAGGCGACGAUCCGUAACUGGUCUGAGAGGAUGAUCAGUCACACUGGAACUGAGACACGGUCCAGACUCCUACGGGAGGCAGCAGUGGGGAAUAUUGGACAAUGGGCGAAAGCCUGAUCCAGCCAUGCCGCGUGUGUGAAGAAGGUCUUCGGAUUGUAAAGCACUUUAAGUUGGGAGGAAGGGCAGUAAGUUAAUACCUUGCUGUUUUGACGUUACCAACAGAAUAAGCACCGGCUAACUUCGUG